This 793-nucleotide ribosomal RNA is filed under the name uncultured bacterium. RNAcentral's name for it is "bacterial SSU rRNA". It matches the Rfam family "Bacterial small subunit ribosomal RNA", at positions 8 to 796 of the family's 1533-position model. The record is from RNAcentral.
AGAGUUUGAUCCUGGCUCAGGAUGAACGCUAGCGGCAGGCUUAAUACAUGCAAGUCGAGGGGCAGCGAGGUUAGCAAUAACUGUCGGCGACCGGCGUACGGGUGAGUAACACGUACCCAAUCUACCUUUUACUGAAGCAUAGCCCCGAGAAAUUGGGAUUAAUACUUCAUAACAUAAUGAAAAGGCAUCUUUUUAUUAUUAAAGCUCAGGCGGUAAAAGAUGAGGGUGCGUCCCAUUAGCUAGUUGGCGGGGUAACGGCCCACCAAGGCAAUGAUGGGUAACUGGCGUGAGAGCGCGACCAGUCACACGGGCACUGAGACACGGGCCCGACUCCUACGGGAGGCAGCAGUAGGGAAUAUUGGGCAAUGGAGGCAACUCUGACCCAGCCAUGCCGCGUGCAGGAUGAAGGCCCUCUGGGUUGUAAACUGCUUUUAUCAGGGAAGAAACGCUUGGAUUCAUCUAAGCCUGACGGUACCUGAGGAAUAAGCACCGGCUAACUCCGUGCCAGCAGCCGCGGUAAUACGGAGGGUGCAAGCGUUAUCCGGAUUUACUGGGUUUAAAGGGUGCGUAGGCGGGUUAUUAAGUCAGUGGUGAAAGAUUUGGGCUCAACCCAAAAAUUGCCAUUGAUACUGGUAGCCUCGAGUACAGUUGAGGUGGGCGGAAUGUGUCAUGUAGCGGUGAAAUGCAUAGAUAUGACACAGAACACCAAUUGCGAAGGCAGCUCGCUAAACUGUAACUGACGCUGAGGCACGAAAGCGUGGGUAGCAAACAGGAUUAGAUACCCUAGUAGUCC